RNAcentral lists this ribosomal RNA (618 nucleotides) under uncultured archaeon. RNAcentral describes it as "bacterial SSU rRNA". It matches the Rfam family "Archaeal small subunit ribosomal RNA", at positions 1 to 624 of the family's 1478-position model. The record is from RNAcentral.
GAUUUUCCGGUUGAUCCUGCCGGACCUGACUGCUAUCGGAUUGGUACUAAGCCAUGCGAGUCAUUGUACAAUACAAGGCGGACGGCUCAGUAACACGUAGUCAACCUAACUCGUGGACGUGGAUAACCUCGGGAAACUGAGAAUAAAACACGAUAGAUCAUAGUGCCUGGAAUGGCUUAUGGUCCAAACAGUUUACUGCCAUGGGAUGGGACUGCGGCCUAUCAGCUUGUUGGUGAGGUAAUGGCCCACCAAGGCGAUUACAGGUACGGGCUCUGAGAGGAGAAGCCCGGAGAUGGGUACUGAGACACGGACCCAGGCCCUAUGGGGCGCAGCAGGCGAGAAACCUUAGCAAUGUGCGAAAGCACGACUGGGUCAGUCCGAGUGAUUCCUGAUAAAGGAGUCUUUUGCUUGUCCUAAAAGCACAAGUGAAUAAGGGGUGGGCAAGUCUGGUGUCAGCCGCCGCGGUAAUACCAGCACCUCGAGUGGUCAGGACGUUUAUUGGGCCUAAAGCAUCCGUAGCCGGCUCUGCAAGUCUUCGGUUAAAUCCACCUGCUCAACAGAUGGGCCGCUGGAGAUACUACAGAGCUAGGGAGUGGGAGAGGCAGACGGUAUUCAGUG